This 253-nucleotide ribosomal RNA is filed under the name uncultured bacterium. RNAcentral's name for it is "partial 16S ribosomal RNA". It matches the Rfam family "Bacterial small subunit ribosomal RNA", at positions 524 to 776 of the family's 1533-position model. The record is from RNAcentral.
UACGUAGGGUCCAAGCGUUAAUCGGAAUUACUGGGCGUAAAGCGUGCGCAGGCGGUUUUAUAAGCCCGAUGUGAAAUCCCCGGGCUUAACCUGGGAAUGGCAUUUGGGACUGUAAGGCUAGAGUACGGCAGAGGGGACUAGAAUUCCUGGUGUAGCAGUGAAAUGCGUAGAUAUCAGGAGGAAUACCGAUGGCGAAGGCAGGUCCCUGGGUCGAUACUGACGCUCAUGCACGAAAGCGUGGGGAGCAAACAGG